CGGGGUCGCCUUGUUUGGCUAGCUUAACACAUGCAAGUCGAGCGAGGGCUUCGGCCCUAGCGGCGGACGGGUGAGUAAAGCAUAGUCAUUUACCCCUUGGUGCGGAAUAUAUUCGAGAAAUCGGAGGCAAAACCGCAUGUGCUCUACGGAGGAAAGAUUUAUCGCCAAGGGAUAAUAUUAUGUCGGAUUAGCCAGUCGGUGGGGUAGCGGCCUACCGAGGCGAGGAUCCGUAGCCGGCCUGAGAGGGUGAACGGCCACACCGGGACUGAGACACGGCCCGGACUCCUACGGGAGGCAGCAGUGGGGGAUAUUGGACAAUGGGGGCAACCCUGAUCCAGCCAUGCCGCGUGAGUGAGGAAGGUCUUAGGAUUGUAAAGCUCUUUUAUCGGGGAUGAUAAUGACCGUACCCGAGGAAUAAGCCCCGGCUAACUCCGUGCCAGCAGCCGCGGUAAGACGGAGGGGGCUAGCGUUGUUCGGAAUUACUGGGUGUAAAGGGCGCGUAGGCGGUUUCGUGUGUCAGAGGUGAAAGCCCCGAGCUUAACUUGGGAAUUGCCUUUGAAACUGCGGGACUUGAGAUAUGGAGAGGCAAGCGGAAUUCCGAGUGUAGCAGUGAAAUGCGUAGAUAUUCGGAGGAAUAUCGGCGGCGAAGGCGGCUUGCUGGCCAUAUACUGACGCUGAGGCGCGAAAGCACGGGGAGCAAACAGGAUUAGAUACCCUGGUAGUCCGUGCCGUAAACGAUGUGGACUUGCCGUCCGAGGCUGAGGUCUUGGGUGGCGGAGCUAACGCGUUAAGUUCACCGCCUGGGGAGUACGACCGCAAGGUUA
RNAcentral lists this ribosomal RNA (824 nucleotides) under uncultured bacterium. RNAcentral describes it as "bacterial SSU rRNA". It matches the Rfam family "Bacterial small subunit ribosomal RNA", at positions 25 to 896 of the family's 1533-position model. The record is from RNAcentral.